Molecule: RNA transcript, 1544 nt
Organism: Gordionus sp. m RMFG-2023
Lineage: Eukaryota; Metazoa; Nematomorpha; Gordioida; Chordodea; Parachordodidae
Gene name: transmembrane protein 129-like
Exons: 5
Source: RefSeq, a predicted model, not a curated record
GUUUAGCACAAUUCCAAUAGAUAUUCUUUUAAUUUAUAUCCAUUUGAAGUUUCUUGAAUCCAGAUGCUAAUUUUUUAUACUAUAUUUUUCCUUAUAUUUUGUUAUAUUGUAAUAUUCCCUCCCAAAGAAUUUAUUUCAGCUGGAUUAACCCUAGAUAAUAUUGUUUCAUCUUUUAUAAUUGAAGAGAGAGAAAACUUUAUUAAUCAUCAUAUUAAACGUACCAGCAUUAAUUUAAUAAUUUUUUCACUCCUGCCAUCAAUAUUUAUUUAUGGCUGCAAAGUUCUUCAUUGGCAAGAGGUAGAAAAUGAAAUAAUGACCAUUGAUAAUUUCAAAAAAUGGAACAAUAAGACCUACAAUGAAUUUAAUGGGCUCCAAUUCUUAUUAAAUUUUUUUUUCUAUUUUCUGGGAUUUACAACAUUUAUCUUUUUUCUUACUUGCAUUAUCAUUAAGUAUUACUCUUUAGAAAACUGGAAAAAUCACCCAAUUGCCCAAAAUUUGACUCUAUAUACAUCAACAGUUGAAAUUUCUGAAAUUAAUAAUGAAUCACAUGAAAAUAUUAACAAGGAAACAAAUAAUUUGGAAAAUUUUUCAAUUAAAAAAGAUAGUUGGGUUAGGGUAGCUGAAUCAGUUAGUAAAGAAUUUCAAUUGAUUGAUAAGUUUUCCUCAAAUUUUGGGAAUAGUAAAUUUUAUUUAACGAAUUCUUGGAUGAUUAAGGUUGGAAUUUUUAAUGUGAAUAUUGUUCAAAAAAAUGAUGUUGAACUAAAUUUAGCAGUUGCCAAAGAUCAUACUCUCUCUCAUAUUAGUGAUUUUGGAGCUCAAAUUUUAGAAAUUAAAGUUAACCCUAUACACAAAACUAAUAUACAACCUUUUAAUAUCAGGCUAAGUUCCUUUGACUAUAAUAGUUUAAAAGAAUCACUAAAAAGACCAAUUAUAAUUACAGAAAAUAUUGUAAUUAAACAAUCCCUGUCUGAUAGAUUUGUUGAGACAUUUAUCGAUGUUAUAAAUGGAAAUCCAAAGUACACCUUGCCUCCCAUCAUUACCCUCGAAAAUUGUUUGGGAUGUUUGAUCAAACCGUCUCAAGUUAAAUUAUACAAAAAUUGUAUUGACACGAGCCCAGAGACUCCUAAUGAUGCGGAAAACUCUGAACGAACCCAUUGCAAAAUGUGCUAUUGUCGACCUAUGUGGUGUAUCUCCUGUAUGGCCAAAUGGUUUGCCAGCCGUCAAAACCAAAAAACACCAGAAAAUUGGCUCUCUGGUUAUUCACCUUGCCCCCUAUGCCGAUCUACUUUUUGUAUUUUGGACGUGUGUUUAUUACGAUAAAUGAGUUUUUUACUCUAAGAAACUAAUAUCAGCUUUAGUAGAAUAAAUAGAGGCAAAACCAUAAUUUAAAAAAUAUGGGAUUAUCAAAUAAAUUUAACCAUAAUUUAAAACAAUAAUUUAUGAAAUGUAAAUACUGCAAUAUUCGAAACAGCAUUCAUAUAAUUCGCUUAGUUAUAUACAGAUUGCACUACAAACUUGUUACUUAUUUUCUUUCCUGAUUCAAA